RNAcentral lists this ribosomal RNA (378 nucleotides) under uncultured organism. Its description in RNAcentral is "partial 16S ribosomal RNA". It matches the Rfam family "Bacterial small subunit ribosomal RNA", at positions 527 to 896 of the family's 1533-position model. The record is from RNAcentral.
GUAGGUGGCAAGCGUUGUCCGGAAUUAUUGGGCGUAAAGCGCGCGCAGGCGGUUCUUUAAGUCUGAUGUGAAAGCCCACCGGCUCAACCGUGGAGGGUCAUUGGAAACUGGAGAACUUGAGUACAGAAGAGGAAAGCGGAAUUCCACGUGUAGCGGUGAAAUGCGUAGAGAUGUGGAGGAACACCAGUGGCGAAGGCGGCUUUUCUGGUCUGUAACUGACGCUGAGGCGCGAAAGCGUGGGGAGCAAACAGGGAUUAGAUACCCUGGUAGUCCACGCCGUAAACGAUGAGUGCUAAGUGUUAGGGGGGUUUCCGCCCCCUUAGUGCUGCAGCUAACGCAUUAAGCACUCCGCCGUGGGGAGUACGGCCCGCAAGGCUG